UUCGAGGCACUCCAUAACUGCGACAAUAUUGCAGCCCUGAUACUCAAUUUGCAACACUGUUGCAGAUGCUCAGCUGAUACUUAAGCAAAAUAAUUGCAAUAUUUUGCGCGAAUUGUGACCGAAAGUGAAACUUUAACCAUGAACUUUUUAAUAAAUAUAGCGAUAGAUAAUUUUGAAAGCAGUGAUAAUAACCUGCUGCUUAAGUAUGGAAAAAAUAGAAAACAAAAUUUUUUAAGAAAGAGAAAGUGGUUCCUCGCUGAAAUUUCAAAAAAGAGAACAGUGACGAAGAUGAUAAAGGUUUGGAAAACAAUUCCAUUGUACCAUGAUGACACAUAUUUCACGCAUUUUCGCAUGACUCGUGAAACAUUUGCAGACUUGAAAAAUGCGUUAGAACCUUUUUGGUCAACACCACACGGGGAAUAUUCCUUGGAACAUUCCUUGCAUAUGACUCUUUGGAAGCUAAGCAAUAGUAGAGUCACAUAUCGAGAGCUUGCCGAUAGAUUUAAUGUUGGGCAAGGAACUGCCCACAAACUUUUCCUUAAAACAAUCAAGACAAUCUGCAAACUUAAAAACGAGAUAUGUUGGCCGUCAGUUUUACAGCAGAAAAAAAUAAUGGAAAACUUUCAAACAAGCCGGGUAAAUUCAUUUCCUUUUGUUGUCGGAUGCUUAGAUGGAACGCAUUUCAAAAUUAACACUCCUCAAACAGAUGCAAUCAGUUAUUAUGACCGUAAAGGAAAUUUUUCAGUUAUUAUGCAGAUGUGUUCAUCGGCUACCCAGGUAGCUGUCAUGAUGCCAAUGUGUGGAAAAAUAGCCCACUUUACAAAGGGAUCACAUCUGGACAAAUAAAACUUGCGAAAGAUGCAAUUAUUCUAGCCGAUUCAGCAUAUCCUGUUUCAAGAUACUUAAUUGCUCCUUUUAGAGAUAACGGACAUCUUUCCAGAGAGGAAAAACAAUUAAACUAUUAUAUGAGUUCAACCCGAGUAUUUAUCGAGCAAACAUUUGGAAUUUUCAAGGCUAAGUUUAAAAUAUUGAAUCAUAUUGAUAUGCGCAAUAUAGAAGACAUAUCAACUGUGAUAUUAGCUUGCGCAAUUUUACAUAAUUUUAUACAGCGAAGCAAUCCGGUUCAUUCUGAAGACAAUCAUACGAGUAUGCCUGAAAAUUUAGAAAAUUCAAAUGAUCACGAUAUGAUUGAACUACCUUAAAAUAUAAAUGACACUAAUGAAGGAAUUAUCAGACGAAAUAACUUGAAAAUGCUAUUUAUUUCAUAGAAGUAUUAUUUCAAUAAUGUAUAUAUGUAUGUACAUAUCAAAUAAAUGAUUAAUUGAUUGAAAUCUUGUUAUAUCAGUUAAUUUAAUUAAAAUCACCUACCCUAGAAUACUAAACCAUUUUCUGUUUCUUUUUUAAUAAAAUAUUAAUUAAUUAAUUAAUAUUUAUUUUAUUGAAAAUAGGAACUCAUACUUAUAAUAAUAAUAUAUAUUAUAUUAAUAUAAACAUAAAGUUUAUUAUAAAAUGAACACUUUUUAUUUUUGGCACAAUCCCUCCAAAACUUGCCGCAAAUCCAACAUUGCUUUAAUCCUUUCCUUGUCAACCAGCAAUUUUUCCUUUUCGAUCUUCAUAGUUUCUUCGUGCCGAAUCUGCUCUUUCCGCGCUUCUUCUUUAAAAAAAUCCAAUGUUUCAUAUGCAAUAGUUUUUGGUCGUUUUUUUCGACUGACACCUUCUGCAUCGCUUUCUUCCACGCACCUUUCCUCCUCACUCACUCCACUUUCAACUAAAUAUUGCAGUGAGCUCUGGAGGUUCCUUAUGGGAGGCUCAAUGGAGUGCCUAUUUCCGAAAACGUUAUCAAAAUCCUUAAAAUAUUCCCACGUCGUGGCACCUCGACCUGUCCCGUCGUUGCGUUUUUUAAUCCUCUUAUACGUCGCAAACAAAUUUAAAAAUUUCCUCUGCAUAAAUUCUUUUGUUUGCGACACUUCCGGAUUUAUAAUACGCAUAUUUUCGACCACCUUACCCCAUAGGACAGACUUUUUCCUCUUCCCGCCAGCAAACUCGGGCUCCAGGUCAAGUCGGGACCUUACUAGGAGUUUUGUAACCGGUGAAUUUAACUUUUCACUGAAAAAAUAUAAAUCACGAUAUAAUAUAUAUUAUUAAAUUCAAUAAAUACCACUUUUACUUACCUCUCUUCUUCCAUUAUUGGCGCGCAAUACAAAAAUUUUUGAAGCAACAAAAUACAACUAUUUAAGAAUUACUAUAAAAUAUUUGCGCGCAGUAGAAAAAUUUUUGAUGCAUAAUGAUGACAUUUGGCGCGCAUCAAGUGUCAAAUUUUUACUCGCUCGAACGUCUGACUUUUGCACGAGUUGCCACAUUUUUACAUCGAAUAUGAUGUUUGCGCAAUAUUGCGCAGUACUGCCA
This is a long non-coding RNA of Bactrocera dorsalis (oriental fruit fly), 2406 nucleotides long. RefSeq lists it as uncharacterized. The transcript is spliced from 3 exons. Lineage: Eukaryota; Metazoa; Arthropoda; Insecta; Diptera; Tephritidae. The record is from RefSeq and is a predicted model, not a curated record.